CCCUUAGAUGUCCUGGGCCGCACGCGCGUUACACUGAUGCAUUCAACGAGCUUUACCUUGGCCGAGAGGCCUGGGCAAUCUUUUAAACCUGCAUCGUGAUAGGGAUAGAUUAUUGCAAUUAUUAAUCUUGAACGAGGAAUUCCUAGUAAACGCAAAUCAUCAAUUUGCAUUGAUUACGUCCCUGCCCUUUGUACACACCGCCCGUCGCACCUACCGAUUGAAUGGUCCGGUGAAGCCUCGGGAUUGUGGCCAGUUCACUUUAUUGGGAGUUGGCUGUGAGAACUUGUCUAAACCUUAUCAUUUAGAGGAAGGUGAAGUCGUAACA
Molecule: ribosomal RNA, 325 nt
Filed under: uncultured eukaryote
Lineage: Eukaryota
Description: partial 18S ribosomal RNA
Rfam family: Eukaryotic small subunit ribosomal RNA
Source: RNAcentral